UACGUAGGGGGCAAGCGUUGUCCGGAAUCAUUGGGCGUAAAGCGCGUGUAGGCGGCCCGAUAAGUCCGCUGUGAAAGUCCAGGGCUCAACCCUGGGAUGCCGGUGGAUACUGUCGGGCUCGAGUCCGGAAGAGGCGAGUGGAAUUCCUGGUGUAGCGGUGAAAUGCGCAGAUAUCAGGAGGAACACCCGUGGCGAAAGCGGCUCUCUGGGACGGUACUGACGCUGAGACGCGAAAGCGUGGGGAGCAAACAGG
Molecule: ribosomal RNA, 253 nt
Filed under: uncultured bacterium
Lineage: Bacteria
Description: partial 16S ribosomal RNA
Rfam family: Bacterial small subunit ribosomal RNA
Source: RNAcentral